RNAcentral lists this long non-coding RNA (3401 nucleotides) under Anas zonorhyncha (Eastern spot-billed duck). RNAcentral describes it as "lncRNA (ENSAZOG00000006286.1)". The record is from RNAcentral. Lineage: Eukaryota; Metazoa; Chordata; Aves; Anseriformes; Anatidae.
AUGCAUCUGUUGUUUUCAAUUAGCUUGAUGGUAUCCAUUUUCAGGAAGCAGAUGCUGCCCUCUUUUACACCGGUGCAAUUCUGGAAUAACUCCACUGACGUCAGUGAAGUGAAAUUUAUCCCAGUUGAAAGCAGAAUUGGACCACAGUCUCAUCAUCUGCUUAUAUGCUAUGGUGCUCUCAGGAAGGUGCACCAUUACCAUACCAUAAGGCUGGAUUCUGGAUGGUGCAAGGCUGUUGUGUCAGAAUGCUGCAAAAGACGUUGCAUCUCCUCCUCAUGGUGUUGGUGAAGUUUCCCUCUGUGCAGGGAAUACAGCAUUUAUGGACAGGAAACUGCUUUCCUUGCUUAGAGGUUUUCUUAUUUUUUUUAAAGGGGUUAGCAUGCUUAGUUACAGGAAACUGAAAUUAGAUGUGAACAGGGGUUGGAGGAAGGAGGCAGGGAGAAUCCUCUACAAGAUUCAAAUGUGUAUGAUUUCUGGGAAAACUAAAUAAAACAGAAUUUAAUUCCCAGUGUCUAAAUAGCAGCAAUUUUUCAUCUAUUAAUCAAAAGACCCAGACAAGCACUGAGUAGUGUGGGAAGCUGGAAAUGGACAUAGGACACCUCCAAACCAUUCUGUUACUGACACCUAUUUUAAAUCUUUUUUUCAAGUGGAGGACCCAGUCCUGGCAAAUGCGUAAAGUCAGCCCUUAGAAGAGCACAAAGCUUUCUCUAGAGAACUGAAUAGCUGGUGAAAGCAUGCCCAUUUGUCUGCCUGUCUUUUGCCAAUGGAUAACUGUGCUUUUAUAGACUGUUUUCAUAGCUCAGAUAAAUGGUAGAAGCUUAACAUAGCUCUACAAAUAAUAAUCAUCCUGAUCAUGCAUAAUAUGCGUUAUGUAAGAGGUGGGCCCAAACUAGAGAUAUUUCUCAUUUCCCUAUGAAGUGUCUUGUUUGAGUGUAUUUGGAGUUAGUUCUUCUUGUGAACAUGUGAGUCUAUUGCCUGCUUUAAAGGAGGUAGUGACUUAGUUUCAGUGGCUGUAGAGAGUUUCACUGAAAUAACACUGUUUAUAGUCUUUCAUGUGAUUUAGAAGGCACAAUUGCCAUAUAGUUCUGAAAAUGUAAUAUAAUUGUAUACAGUGUUCAUGGGAAAUGUUCUGAAGUUUUUUCCCACUGCACCAUUGUGAUGAAAACCUCUGUUGCUCUUCACACUCUGUGAGCCCAUGCUGUACUAUGCUGAAGCUGAUGGGAAACCCACUUAGUAAUGGGAAGUGAUGGACAGAGAGGGAUGCUCUGGCCUGGAAUCUCCUCUCUUUGGCAAUGGCACAGGUAGAAAGCAUCUCCUAAUGUGACAGUUCUUGGCACCUGUAACAAGCAAGGAUUGUAAUAUCUCCUCAUGGCUGCUGACUGAGAGUCUGGUCCUCUGAUAAGAUGUGACCUCCUGGAUACCUGUGACUCAAAAAGAUAAUCGGUGUCUAUAGGACUGGGCUUAAAGCAACUAUGACAUGGGAAAUCCAAAGAUACUUAUGGAGCAAGUCUGCGGAGUAGUCUUGAGCAUGGAUGUAAAACCACAGUUCCUAGGAGGCAAUAUUCACCCUGUAUUGAUAUUAUUUGGGUGCAAACAAUGCAGAGACCUACUCUGACUCUCAGUGCAGGACAGCUUGCAGUGUGAGGCUUCUUAGAUCUGUGUGACAAGGCAACAUGACUGGCAUUGGGCAGCCAGAGCUGCCACAAACCCUUCUUGCAUGGGCAGUUGUCUUCAGAGGUAGACAAAGUGUAGGCUGCCUGCUGCAGAAGUCUGUGAGCCUUCAGAUGCAUGGCAUGCAGAUCAGAGACUUUAGGUGAUACUGUGUGCCACUACAAACAGCGUGGAUAUUGGUUGCAGGACCCUUUUGCUUUUGCUGUGAAAUCUAACUCCUAGACGUUAUUUAAAGGAAAACAGUUGGGAUUUGCAGGCCAGGUCAUGUGGUGACGAAAGUAUUUCCAGUGCCCUCAUUGGAGCCAGGCUGAUUUAUACAAGUCUAGUCCAACAUUUCUGAGAAAUUGUGGAUGAUAGGUUUUUUUGUUGUUGUUGUUGGCUGCACUGAAAACCUGAAGCCUUUCAAAUAAAGUAUGUGAAGGAAACAGAAUUUUUAGAUGGAAUAGUGAAAAUGCUGUUUUCUGGACUCAGACUUUGAGACAAGUUUUUUGCAGAACCCACAUGUUGUGAGAGAAGAGGGUAUUGGGCUUGAAAGCUGACCAAUGAAAUGGGACUCAACUGAGCUUUGAAAAGCAAUUAUUGUCCUUAUUGGUGUUGCCAUAAUAUAUGCUUAACUCAAACCCAAUCUUGCAAAGGCCAGAACCCAAUGAAACCAUGUAACUAGGUAUUUGUGAUUGUUCCUGUCGGUGUGAUCCACUGUUGAAUAGGCUGGAUAUAUGAAUAAAACCAAUAUUUUUUAAAGUGUUGUGUGUUUUUCAUGUCAAAAAGACUGGUUGCUCUCUGGUACUUUACUAUGUCCAUAUGAAGUAUUUUAUGUGGGAUUAAUACAACUGUACGGCUUUCUUAGGACAAUUGGCAGCCACUUGCUGAAGAACACCUUUUCUUCCUCGGAGGUGAUUGUUGCAGUACUGCACUGAACACCAGUAAACUGGGUCUGACUGGGUUGGAGUUAACUCUCCCUGCAGUGGCCCAUACAGUGCUGUGCUCUGAACUUGUAGCUAGAACAGCAUUGCAAUCACACUAGAGUUUUGCCUAUUGCAGAGCAGUGCUGGCACACCAUCAAGACUCCCUCUAACCCAGAACCAACAGGCUGGGGUUGGCAAGAGUGGAGGAGGGGACAUCACCAGGUCAGCUGACCUAAACCAACCAAAGGGAUAUUCCAGGUGGGAAAGGGGAAAGAGAAGGAAGUGCUUUUUUUAUGAAAACGUUUGUCCUCCCAAACAACCACUAUGGGUAUUGAGGCCCUGCUUCCCAAGACGUGGAUAAACAUUGCCUGCUAAUGGAAAGUAGAGAAUAAUUGUUUUCCCUCUUUUUGCUUCCACGUGGCCUUUGCUUGUCUUUUUUUUUUUUUUUUUUUUUUAUGUGUCUUUUCCUUUAGUUAAAUAACCCUUAUAACCCUUAUCUCAAACUGUGAGCCCCCCCUCUUUUUUUUUUUUCCUCUUCAUAUUUCCCCACACACACUUCGAGGAAGGGGAGUGAGAGAGAGGUGUGCUGGAGUUCGGUUGACCAUCCAUGUGAAAACACCACAUCCUGUCACAUGUAAAGAUGUAAAGAUAACUUGGUAUGUCCUCCUCCUAGUCCUGUAAUGGUCGUCCCUUUAUUCUUUGACAGAGCAGUCAAGGCCACUCAAUGUUCCAUCAAAGUAUGGGUAAGGGGAAGAGUGUGUGUCUCACACCUGCUGCUACUGCCUGUGUCCCUCCCUUUGUCUUAUGGCUUUACAAAUACCAAAC